ACUUUUAACAACGGAUCUCUUGGUUCUGGCAUCGAUGAAGAACGCAGCGAAAUGCGAUAAGUAGUGUGAAUUGCAGAAUUCAGUGAAUCAUCGAAUCUUUGAACGCACAUUGCGCCCCUUGGUAUUCCAUGGGGCAUGCCUGUUCGAGCGUCAUUUG
This 157-nucleotide ribosomal RNA is filed under the name Leptosphaeria doliolum. Its description in RNAcentral is "5.8S ribosomal RNA". It matches the Rfam family "5.8S ribosomal RNA". From Rfam's summary of the family: 5.8S ribosomal RNA (5.8S rRNA) is a component of the large subunit of the eukaryotic ribosome. Lineage: Eukaryota; Fungi; Ascomycota; Dothideomycetes; Pleosporales; Leptosphaeriaceae. RNAcentral also lists the same sequence under 14 other names. The record is from RNAcentral.